Molecule: ribosomal RNA, 2660 nt
Filed under: Salmonella enterica subsp. enterica serovar Typhimurium
Lineage: Bacteria; Pseudomonadati; Pseudomonadota; Gammaproteobacteria; Enterobacterales; Enterobacteriaceae
Description: partial 23S ribosomal RNA
Rfam family: Bacterial large subunit ribosomal RNA
Source: RNAcentral
CCGUACACAAAAGCGCAUGUGCUGUGAGCUCGAUGAGUAGGGCGGGACACGUGGUAUCCUGUCUGAAUAUGGGGGGACCAUCCUCCAAGGCUAAAUACUCCUGACUGACCGAUAGUGAACCAGUACCGUGAGGGAAAGGCGAAAAGAACCCCGGCGAGGGGAGUGAAAAAGAACCUGAAACCGUGUACGUACAAGCAGUGGGAGCACAGGUUUACCUGUGUGACUGCGUACCUUUUGUAUAAUGGGUCAGCGACUUAUAUUCUGUAGCAAGGUUAACCGUAUAGGGGAGCCGUAGGGAAACCGAGUCUUAACCGGGCGUUAAGUUGCAGGGUAUAGACCCGAAACCCGGUGAUCUAGCCAUGGGCAGGUUGAAGGUUGGGUAACACUAACUGGAGGACCGAACCGACUAAUGUUGAAAAAUUAGCGGAUGACCUGUGGCUGGGGGUGAAAGGCCAAUCAAACCGGGAGAUAGCUGGUUCUCCCCGAAAGCUAUUUAGGUAGCGCCUCGUGAAUUCAUCUCCGGGGGUAGAGCACUGUUUCGGCUAGGGGGCCAUCCCGGCUUACCAACCCGAUGCAAACUGCGAAUACCGGAGAAUGUUAUCACGGGAGACACACGGCGGGUGCUAACGUCCGUCGUGAAGAGGGAAACAACCCAGACCGCCAGCUAAGGUCCCAAAGUCAUGGUUAAGUGGGAAACGAUGUGGGAAGGCCCAGACAGCCAGGAUGUUGGCUUAGAAGCAGCCAUCAUUUAAAGAAAGCGUAAUAGCUCACUGGUCGAGUCGGCCUGCGCGGAAGAUGUAACGGGGCUAAACCAUGCACCGAAGCUGCGGCAGCGAACGUAUCACCCAAGACAACUUUACGGAGUUGACGAUUGACGGAGCGAAGCGACGUCAAAGCGUUCAUUAAAGUCGAGUUGGCUUAGGGAUACGUUCGUUGGGUAGGGGAGCGUUCUGUAAGCCUGUGAAGGUGUGUCGUGAGGCAUGCUGGAGGUAUCAGAAGUGCGAAUGCUGACAUAAGUAACGAUAAAGCGGGUGAAAAGCCCGCUCGCCGGAAGACCAAGGGUUCCUGUCCAACGUUAAUCGGGGCAGGGUGAGUCGACCCCUAAGGCGAGGCCGAAAGGCGUAGUCGAUGGGAAACGGGUUAAUAUUCCCGUACUUGGUGUUACUGCGAAGGGGGGACGGAGAAGGCUAUGUUGGCCGGGCGACGGUUGUCCCGGUUUAAGCGUGUAGGUGUGUGUUCCAGGUAAAUCCGGUUCACUUUAACACUGAGGCGUGACGACGAGGCACUACGGUGCUGAAGCAACAAAUGCCCUGCUUCCAGGAAAAGCCUCUAAGCAUCAGGUAACAUCAAAUCGUACCCCAAACCGACACAGGUGGUCAGGUAGAGAAUACCAAGGCGCUUGAGAGAACUCGGGUGAAGGAACUAGGCAAAAUGGUGCCGUAACUUCGGGAGAAGGCACGCUGACACGUAGGUGAAGUGAUUUACUCAUGGAGCUGAAGUCAGUCGAAGAUACCAGCUGGCUGCAACUGUUUAUUAAAAACACAGCACUGUGCAAACACGAAAGUGGACGUAUACGGUGUGACGCCUGCCCGGUGCCGGAAGGUUAAUUGAUGGGGUCAGCGCAAGCGAAGCUCCUGAUCGAAGCCCCGGUAAACGGCGGCCGUAACUAUAACGGUCCUAAGGUAGCGAAAUUCCUUGUCGGGUAAGUUCCGACCUGCACGAAUGGCGUAAUGAUGGCCAGGCUGUCUCCACCCGAGACUCAGUGAAAUUGAACUCGCUGUGAAGAUGCAGUGUACCCGCGGCAAGACGGAAAGACCCCGUGAACCUUUACUAUAGCUUGACACUGAACAUUGAGCCUUGAUGUGUAGGAUAGGUGGGAGGCUUUGAAGUGUGGACGCCAGUCUGCAUGGAGCCGACCUUGAAAUACCACCCUUUAAUGUUUGAUGUUCUAACGUGGACCCGUAAUCCGGGUUGCGGACAGUGUCUGGUGGGUAGUUUGACUGGGGCGGUCUCCUCCUAAAGAGUAACGGAGGAGCACGAAGGUUGGCUAAUCCUGGUCGGACAUCAGGAGGUUAGUGCAAUGGCAUAAGCCAGCUUGACUGCGAGCGUGACGGCGCGAGCAGGUGCGAAAGCAGGUCAUAGUGAUCCGGUGGUUCUGAAUGGAAGGGCCAUCGCUCAACGGAUAAAAGGUACUCCGGGGAUAACAGGCUGAUACCGCCCAAGAGUUCAUAUCGACGGCGGUGUUUGGCACCUCGAUGUCGGCUCAUCACAUCCUGGGGCUGAAGUAGGUCCCAAGGGUAUGGCUGUUCGCCAUUUAAAGUGGUACGCGAGCUGGGUUUAGAACGUCGUGAGACAGUUCGGUCCCUAUCUGCCGUGGGCGCUGGAGAACUGAGGGGGGCUGCUCCUAGUACGAGAGGACCGGAGUGGACGCAUCACUGGUGUUCGGGUUGUCAUGCCAAUGGCACUGCCCGGUAGCUAAAUGCGGAAGAGAUAAGUGCUGAAAGCAUCUAAGCACGAAACUUGCCCCGAGAUGAGUUCUCCCUGAGACUUAGAGUCUCCUGAAGGAACGUUGAAGACGACGACGUUGAUAGGCCGGGUGUGUAAGCGCAGCGAUGCGUUGAGCUAACCGGUACUAAUGAACCGUGAGGCUUAACCUUACA